GCGCGGGGCACGCUGGGACGUCUCGCUGGCGGGAGGCCACGGGCUUUCCACAGCGCGGGGGAACGAGAGGCUGCAGGAUGGUCAAGCUGACGGCGGAGCUGAUCGAGCAGGCGGCGCAGUACACUAACGCGGUGCGCGACCGGGAGCUGGACCUCCGGGUAUCCUAAGAAAUCCGGUAACCAAUAAGAAGCAUUACAGAUUGUAUGUGAUUUAUAAAGUUCCGCAAGUCAGAGUACUGGAUUUCCAGAAAGUGAAACUAAAAUUUUAAUCCAGGUGCUGGUUUGCCAACUGACAAAAAGAAAGGUGGGCCAUCUCCAGGGGAUGUAGAAGCAAUCAAGAACGCUAUAGCAAAUGCUUCAACUCUGGCUGAAGUGGAGAGGCUGAAGGGGUUGCUGCAGUCUGGUCAGAUCCCUGGCAGAGAACGCAGAUCGGGGCCCACUGAUGAUGGUGAAGAAGAGAUGGAAGAAGACACAGUCACAAACGGGUCCUGAGCAGUGAGGCAGAUG
Molecule: small RNA, 506 nt
Filed under: Pongo abelii (Sumatran orangutan)
Lineage: Eukaryota; Metazoa; Chordata; Mammalia; Primates; Hominidae
Description: processed transcript
Source: RNAcentral